This is a long non-coding RNA of Rhinopithecus roxellana (golden snub-nosed monkey), 666 nucleotides long. RefSeq lists it as uncharacterized. The transcript has 3 exons. The record is from RefSeq and is a predicted model, not a curated record. NCBI's taxonomy places the organism in Eukaryota, Metazoa, Chordata, Mammalia, Primates, Cercopithecidae.
GUGAUCAUCUUGUGAAAGUUUAUUUUUUCCUGGCUGUAUUUAAAGAACUAUACUGCCAUGUUGUAGGCUGUGGCACUGUGACAAGGAACUUAGGGUGGUCUCUAGGAGCUGAGGAUGUUCUCCAGUUGAACAUCAACAGGACAUUGAAAUUCUGUGUCCUUCAACUGCAAGGAACUAAAUUUUGCCAACACAAAUGAAUCUUUCUCCAGUUGAGUUUCAGAUGAGACUGCACUUGCAGACAAAUCCUUAUUGCAAUCUUGUUCACCCUAAACAGAGGACUCAGCUAAGCCCUUCCCAGAUUCCAGAUCCAUAGAAAUUUUAAGAUGAGAAUUGUGCAUCAAUGUUCAAGUCCCAAGAGAUGUUAUCAGUCUGAACAGCCCAGUGAACAAGUAUUUGUGACCCUCCUUCCAAAUGAAACGUUCUAUAGAAAGGUGGAAGUGUGUUGAUUACUGGCAGGGUUCUCUGGUCAUCUUAUCCUACAUGAUUCUCCCUCCACUUCUAUCAACAUGGAGUUUUGUACUCAGCAAAAUAAAAAUCUUUCAAAACUGAGGACCAAAACAAACAAACAAAAAAAGACAUUUUUUAUAUUAAAAAACCAAGAGACUUUGUUGGUAGCAAAUUAAAACUACAAUAAAUGGUUAAAUGAAGGAACAUGAUAUCAAUUGG